This 467-nucleotide ribosomal RNA is filed under the name uncultured bacterium. RNAcentral describes it as "partial 16S ribosomal RNA". It matches the Rfam family "Bacterial small subunit ribosomal RNA", at positions 29 to 507 of the family's 1533-position model. The record is from RNAcentral.
ACGAACGCUGGCGGCGUGCUUAACACAUGCAAGUCGAACGGAAAGGCCCUGCUUUUGUGGGGUGCUCGAGUGGCGAACGGGUGAGUAACACGUGAGUAACCUGCCCUUGACUUUGGGAUAACUUCAGGAAACUGGGGCUAAUACCGGAUAGGAGCUCCUGCUGCAUGGUGGGGGUUGGAAAGUUUCGGCGGUUGGGGAUGGACUCGCGGCUUAUCAGCUUGUUGGUGGGGUAGUGGCUUACCAAGGCUUUGACGGGUAGCCGGCCUGAGAGGGUGACCGGCCACAUUGGGACUGAGAUACGGCCCAGACUCCUACGGGAGGCAGCAGUGGGGAAUAUUGCACAAUGGGCGGAAGCCUGAUGCAGCAACGCCGCGUGCGGGAUGACGGCCUUCGGGUUGUAAACCGCUUUCGCCUGUGACGAAGCGUGAGAGACGGUAAUGGGUAAAGAAGCACCGGCUAACUACGUG